This 506-nucleotide ribosomal RNA is filed under the name uncultured bacterium. RNAcentral's name for it is "partial 16S ribosomal RNA". It matches the Rfam family "Bacterial small subunit ribosomal RNA", at positions 30 to 523 of the family's 1533-position model. The record is from RNAcentral.
AUUGAACGCUGGCGGCAGGCCUAACACAUGCAAGUCGGACGGUAGCACAGAGGAGCUUGCUCCUUGGGUGACGAGUGGCGGACGGGUGAGUAAUGUCUGGGGAUCUGCCCGAUAGAGGGGGAUAACCACUGGAAACGGUGGCUAAUACCGCAUAACGUCGCAAGACCAAAGAGGGGGACCUUCGGGCCUCUCACUAUCGGAUGAACCCAGAUGGGAUUAGCUAGUAGGCGGGGUAAUGGCCCACCUAGGCGACGAUCCCUAGCUGGUCUGAGAGGAUGACCAGCCACACUGGAACUGAGACACGGUCCAGACUCCUACGGGAGGCAGCAGUGGGGAAUAUUGCACAAUGGGCGCAAGCCUGAUGCAGCCAUGCCGCGUGUAUGAAGAAGGCCUUCGGGUUGUAAAGUACUUUCAGCGGGGAGGAAGGCGAUGCGGUUAAUAACCGCAUCGAUUGACGUUACCCGCAGAAGAAGCACCAGCUAACUCCGUGCCAGCCGCCGCUGUAA